UAGGGAAUCUUCGGCAAUGGGGGCAACCCUGACCGAGCAACGCCGCGUGAGUGAAGAAGGUUUUCGGAUCGUAAAGCUCUGUUGUAAGAGAAGAACGUGUGUGAGAGUGGAAAGUUCACACAGUGACGGUAACUUACCAGAAAGGGACGGCUAACUACGUGCCAGCAGCCGCGGUAAUACGUAGGUCCCGAGCGUUGUCCGGAUUUAUUGGGCGUAAAGCGAGCGCAGGCGGUUUAAUAAGUCUGAAGUUAAAGGCAGUGGCUUAACCAUUGUUAGCUUUGGAAACUGUUAAACUUGAGUGCAGAAGGGGAGAGUGGAAUUCCAUGUGUAGCAGUGAAAUGCGUAGAUAUAUGGAGGAACACCGGUGGCGAAAGCGGCUCUCUGGUCUGUAACUGACGCUGAGGCUCGAAAGCGUGGGGAGCAAACAGG
This 429-nucleotide ribosomal RNA is filed under the name bacterium. RNAcentral describes it as "partial 16S ribosomal RNA". It matches the Rfam family "Bacterial small subunit ribosomal RNA", at positions 355 to 776 of the family's 1533-position model. The record is from RNAcentral.